GUACAAAUUGCAUCCUCUGUACUGGUGAAGUAGUGAAUUUUGCUCUAGUGGGUAUGGAAAUAUACUACCUCUUCAGCUUAGAGAAGAACACUGAGCAACCAAGCUUCCAUUAUGUCACACCUUUUGGCCAUUGUGGAGUAUACCAUUAUCACUCUGUCCUUUGUCGAAGAGAAAUCGGUUUGACACAUAUACCUUGAGUGUCAGUAAUAAAUGGCUUUGGCAUGCACGUUUAGAGGCCUUGACCUAUUGUUUCAUUUGGCCUAAUAGUUUAAAAAGCUCCAUCCUCCCAGCUUUGUGUAUGACCAGAGAUUGCAGCAUCUAUGCUUUACUUCAAAGGGGUCUUAAACAUUUUACACUCUCUUAAGGAAGGUAACUGGGGUGGCCUUUUUUUUGGGCUCCACUUAAUUCUUUCUCACUCUAAUCUUUUUAAUAUUUGCUUAAGUUCCCCGACGAUUAUAGUCCAUUGCCAUACCCUAUUAGGUGCUUGCUGGCUUUAAUUUUGUAGUUUAUGAAUAUAAUUUGUAAUUAGAGUAGUUGUGCGUUAUGAAUUGGUUAGUUAUAUUAUAUGUUAGAUUUUGUAAAAAUCUUGCUAUACCUUAUUAGAAAGUGUUUUGAAUGUUGGUUUUUUUAUUGGAUAUGUAAUUAAAAUUUCUUAAUCACAGUUACAUCAUAAUGCUGUAAAAAUUUCUAAAGCAUCUUAUAUAGUAGAAUUAGUUGAAGGAUAAAUUUUGGUGAAGUUUCUUGAUUUAGUGUUGUAAUUUUGGGCCCUUCCUAUAAAUAGGAAGGUAAUACACAAGAAAAGUAAAAAUGAGUAACAGAAUUUAUUCGAGAUUAACUUGCUUUUUCCCGUAAAAGUGAUGAUGGAAUUUUAGUGUUUGCUUGGGUUGGGGCACACUCAAAUUUCUAAUCUUGUAUUACAUCCGUAACUUUGCUUUGAAAAUAGAAGAAUAAUGAACAUUCAUCAAAAGCUUGUACUUGACUUUUUUGUUGUUGUCAUCUUGCAAUGCAGCCCCAGUUCCUUUUGUGACGGGAAUUUAUUAACUUUUUGAAGAGACUAAUUUUUAGUUUUGGAUAUUGUGUAAUUUUUCCUUAUCUGAGUCUACUCUUACUUUAUUUUCGGAAAAUUUCUCAUUUUAGUUGCUUUCUGAUGGAGAUAGCAAAUGGGUUGUGUUUGUUUGUUUACUUUGAGGAACAAUAUAAAAUUGGCUGCUGGAGGGCCUAAUUCUGGGCAGCCACAAUUCCUUAGGGCUAGGGAUGAGAUUUUUCGCAUGCUCCGUUGAUCAAGAACCCAGAAACCGAUCAGAUUAUUGUUUUUGAUGUGAGCCUUUUAGUUUUUUAAUUAAUGUUUUGAUGAUUAAUCCUUGUCAAUUUUCAAAUGAUAGGAUAAUUAGUCAUUAAAUUCCACUUUUAAUGAGAUUAUAUAUUUGGAAAACUUAUACAAAUGUAACCAUACAUUAAACUA
Molecule: long non-coding RNA, 1462 nt
Organism: Cucumis melo (muskmelon)
Lineage: Eukaryota; Viridiplantae; Streptophyta; Magnoliopsida; Cucurbitales; Cucurbitaceae
Exons: 2
Source: RefSeq, a predicted model, not a curated record